Molecule: unclassified non-coding RNA, 269 nt
Filed under: plant metagenome
Description: partial contains small subunit ribosomal RNA, internal transcribed spacer 1, and 5.8S ribosomal RNA
Source: RNAcentral
UUUCCGUAGGUGAACCUGCGGAAGGAUCAUUAAUGCGUUGUCAUGGGGUUCGAGGCUGGCAGCCAAUUUUUGGAUGCCUGUGCUUGCCCUAACAAUCAUCUUCCAAACACCUGUGCACAUUUUUGAGGGAGUCUUGAGUUGGUUGCCGCUCUUGGGUGAUUUUCUCACAUUCCCUUAAAUCAUUAUACGCUAUUAACAAUGUUGAACGUGCUCUGUGCCGCAAGGCUAUUAAUAUAAUACAACUUUUAACAACGGAUCUCUUGGCUCUC